Molecule: long non-coding RNA, 981 nt
Organism: Gallus gallus (chicken)
Lineage: Eukaryota; Metazoa; Chordata; Aves; Galliformes; Phasianidae
Exons: 2
Source: RefSeq, a predicted model, not a curated record
GCGCCCUCCACCCACCCAGCAGCACCAUGCACAUGGCAGAGGCUUGCAGGGGGACAUUGGCUCUGCAGUCCCACCCUGCCCCAGGAUGUUAUUGGCCGAUUAUUGGCAUCUGUGCACCGGGCUGCCCCUGGUAGUAAUUAUGGCUCAGGCGUAUGGCCUAAUCUGUUGCUUCUUGCUGUGAGAUCACUGUCCUUGUAGCAGCACAUCUCUCAACAAGCCUUCCUAGGGAGGCUUAAAAUCUCUCUAAGAAACCCUUAGCAAGCAAAAACUGAUCCUUAUUUCAGUGUUGCUUAACUCCUGUAUGUCACUAAACAGAUGUUCUUAAGCCGGUGCAGAUUCAAGCUUAAUUGACCCAAGUGAGGACAAACCUCCUUGCCAUGAAUGUGUUUGUCUUUCUGCACUGGUUGACUCACACAGGUCUGGAUUCUACAGCUAUUGUUGAAAAAUAAGGCUUGGAACCCCACUCACCCACCCUGCUGUAAUUUCUCAGGCUUUGCCAAGGAAGUGGAAAAUGCCACUGAACCAGAAGAGCAGCCCUCAUGCUCCUUGGGACUUGGGUUGUACCAGUGCAAGCGGCACAGGACUGAGCCCUACUGCCAAUUAUGAAUAUUAAAGCAAUGCCAACAGGACCAAAGAUCACAGAAAAUCAACAAUGUCCGUGAGGUGACCGCGAGCCGAGACUUUGAAACCACAGCUGGGAACGCUGAGGUAAAACUUAUCAAAUGAAAAGGACAGCAAAAAUAACCAUCAGCGGGGUUUGCUUCCUUCCCUCCUACAUCUCCUUGUGCAACCCUGCACACACAGCUUUGCCUGAAAGCUUCUGACCCUAAAAUCAGGCUUUAUAUCACAUGCUUUGAAUAAAACGAUCUGUGACAGGCAAAGGGAGCACCGGGCUAAUCCCGAAAGUAUCUAGUUCGUGUCAUGCUUUCCUGGAAUUGUGUAGCAACCCAAUGUUGCAGGCUGGGGCUCCCUGAGCUGCAU